RNAcentral lists this ribosomal RNA (524 nucleotides) under uncultured Actinomycetales bacterium. RNAcentral describes it as "bacterial SSU rRNA". It matches the Rfam family "Bacterial small subunit ribosomal RNA", at positions 93 to 632 of the family's 1533-position model. Lineage: Bacteria; Bacillati; Actinomycetota; Actinomycetes; Actinomycetales. The record is from RNAcentral.
CAGUGGCGAACGGGUGAGUAACACGUGGGCAACCUGCCCCUGACUUCGGGAUAACGCUUCGAAAGAGGUGCUAAUACCGAAUAUAAACGCGAAGGACAUCCUUUGCGUUGGAAAGUUUUUCGGUCAGGGAUGGGCCCGCGGCCUAUCAGCUUGUUGGUGAGGUAAUGGCUCACCAAGGCGACGACGGGUAGCCGGCCUGAGAGGGCGACCGGCCACACUGGGACUGAGACACGGCCCAGACUCCUACGGGAGGCAGCAGUGGGGAAUAUUGCGCAAUGGGCGAAAGCCUGACGCAGCAACGCCGCGUGGGGGAUGAAGGCCUUCGGGUUGUAAACCUCUUUCAGCAGGGAAGAAGCGAAAGUGACGGUACCUGCAGAAGAAGCACCGGCUAACUACGUGCCAGCAGCCGCGGUAAUACGUAGGGUGCAAGCGUUGUCCGGAUUUAUUGGGCGUAAAGAGCUCGUAGGCGGUUAGUCACGUCGGAUGUGAAAUCCCGGAGCUUAACUCCGGGCCUGCAUUCGAUA